CGUAAGAGAGACCCUCAUGAUCAUGACCCCCACUUCGAACUAUGGUUCGUAGGCCAUGUUUUCGGGCACAUUUGAGGACCGAUUGAAUUUGUGAUACGUGAAAUGGCGUGACAAUGACUUGAGGUCUCCGGUACUCGGGCGAUGCGUACAGAAGAUUUUGUUUUAAAUUAUUCAAUAUCGAUAUAUAUGAAGAGUUGCUUUGGGUAAAAAUUACUUUAGAAAUGAAGGUGUUCUCAGAGUGUAGAGAGAGGCAUUGAAGAAACUUCUGAUUAGUGUCGUGAUGAACAUGAUCAUCAGCUAAAGCUAUCCCAUGAAGAAAUGAUAACACAAGAACUAAAGUAGUAGUAGAAAUAUUAAAUGGGAGAAUUGAUGUAGUGCUUUUAGUUUGGGGCUUCAUUUUGGUAGAUGUCUGAUGAUGUGUGAGUAGCCAAAUGAAUUCUAUCCCUUAAAUAUAUAUCCUUUCAAUCCAACAGCUCUCCUUGACCCAAUAAUUUUAAUAGUGUGGUAUGCGGUGUAUGAUUGUUGACAAAUAUUGUAUGUUAAUAGUUUUAUAUUCUAAUCAUGAUUGAUUAUAUAUUAUGAUAUAUUACAUCAAUGCACGAACAAUUUUGCGACUGGCUGCAUGUAUAUGUUCGGACAUAGAGUGGAAUAUUUGACGGUCCUAUUGGGUGGGCUUCUUAUAUUUAUUGUGAAAUGCAGUAUGACACCUGAAACAGUCUAAAUAAAUUAAUUGUUUAAAAAAAUAUAAAGUAACAUUGCGAUUUCAUUCGGUACUUAUGUUGGGGGAGAAUAAUGCAAAAAGAUUGUUCAAAUAAUAUUUAACUUCAUCAACCCUUUCGACCGACGGUGAAAGAUCUUAACAGAAGCAGCCUUGUAAAUAGGAGAGCAUAUCGAUGACUAAAUCAGCCAGCUGUCGUUAACAACAAAUUAUCCGUUAUUCAUCUUAACACCGUUGAUACUGUUCCCCGUUUAAGCAUAAUUCCCGUCUUCUGACUAAUUUACCCUUCCCGUGAGAGCUGAUGAGGUGACACGAUGCCGCAGUGGAACCAAACCACUGUAGUCCCUACAGCCUGGCCGUUUUGAUCAUUAUCAAAAUGCAAAUGGGCAAGACAAAAAUGUUACACUAAAGAUGCAUUUAUUACUAUAAAAUUCCAGCCGCGAAUCCAUACAAAGCAGAAAUUACCAUUUAACAAAUGCGAUCAAGCAGUAGGUAGUUGAUACAUAAUCCACGAAGGUUUAUUAAAAGGGAGACUUUGUAUGCGAUCAAGCAGUAGUAGUAGUAGUUGAUACAUAAUCACUGAAGGUUUAUUGAAAGGGAAACUUUAUACUAACAACGCCAUCGAUCACGUUAUAUUAUUUUUUCAACGUCUCUAUUGAUUAAUUAAUGAUUUCUCUUCCUACUGCCCUGGCGAACGCGGGAUGGGAUGCUUUGUUCGUUUCUAAAGAAAUUAUCAGGAUCCGCCUUAGUUUUGACAUCAACCAAUCUUUUGAAAUUGUUCUUGAAGUAUUUGUUUCCCCAAACGCCGGCUUCUUCGACGCUUGUGUAAUUGUCACCAAAGUUAUUUCUUCCGAUUUCCAGAUCCUUGCAAUUGAAAUAUGUAGCUCGGGGAUUUUUGGUAACAUAGGGAGCCAUGUAAUCGUACAGCUUUCUGUCCAACUCAAUCACCCUUUGGGAUUCUUCAUCAUCAUACCAUUCCGCAUAAUACAUGAGGUGGAAUUUGUUGCUCCUGUGCGGGAAUGCGGUUGCCGUCUCCGAGAUCUCGUUGAAUCUUCCGCCAUAAGGAAAUGAAAUCACGUAAAUGUUGUGCCCUCCUUCUUCAUACAGAACCUCAUACAUCCCUUCCAAGGCUUCGACAGGAAUAGGUUCCCUCACGUAGUCAGAUUUUGCUUUCAUGUAGUAUUUGGCAUAACUAAGCCUGUCAAGCAAUAACUCCAAAUUCAGAUUCUCUUUUGCGUUGAAUGCACGAUGGUAGACGGUUGAUUCAACCCAGCUCAUUUCUUGGCAAUCUUCUUUCCUCACACCAAGCUCAGGGAACCUCUCCUGCAUCAGCGGAAGCAGCCUAUCUACUCCACCCAGAUACUCGGCCGAGAAUAUGGCCACCAUCGUUCUCUUUCCUUCCACUGAUUUAAGCCCAGCACUGAUUACUAAUUCUUCCGGAAGCUUAUACGCAAUCUGCUGCCAUUUGUGAUGGAUCUGUGUUGCAUUCUGUUCCAAGGUUCUUACAACUGUGAAUACAGUCACAGUUGACGGGACAUCCACUAGGUUCACUUUCCAAGCGACAAGGAUUCCGAAGCUAGCUACCCCACCUCCUCGAAUGGCCCAAAAAAGAUCUUCUCCCAUUGAUUUUCUAUCAAGAAUCCUGCCAUUAACGUCCAUCAAGUGAGCAUCAAUUACUUGAUCAGCAGCAAGACCGUAUUUACGCAUUAAGUAGCCAAACCCUCCACCACUUAAAUGUCCACCAACCCCUACAGUGGGGCAAACUCCUGCCGGAAAGGCAAGAAGGUUGUUACUUUCCUCAGAAACUUUGUAAUAUAGUUCCCCAAGGGUGGCACCAGCUCCAACCCAUGCUGUCUUCUCUUCUGCAUCGACGUCGAUUUGAUUAAAGUUUAUCAAAUCAAUCAUCACAAAUGGAACCUCAGAAACGUAAGAGAGACCCUCAUGAUCAUGACCCCCACUUCGAACUAUGGUUCGUAGGCCAUGUUUUCGGGCACAUUUGAGGACCGAUUGAAUUUGUGAUACGUGAAAUGGCGUGACAAUGACUUGAGGUCUCCGGUACUCGGGCGAUGCGUACAGAAGAUUUUGUUUUAAAUUAUUCAAUAUCGAUAUAUAUGAAGAGUUGCUUUGGGUAAAAAUUACUUUAGAAAUGAAGGUGUUCUCAGAGUGUAGAGAGAGGCAUUGAAGAAACUUCUGAUUAGUGUCAUGAUGAACAUGAUCAUCAGCUAAAGCUAUCCCAUGAAGAAAUGAUAACACAAGAACUAAAGUAGUAGUAGAA
This 2993-nucleotide long non-coding RNA is filed under the name Citrus sinensis (sweet orange). Its description in RNAcentral is "long non-coding RNA (CSIN_LNC004035)". Lineage: Eukaryota; Viridiplantae; Streptophyta; Magnoliopsida; Sapindales; Rutaceae. The record is from RNAcentral.